CCUANGGGUGGCAGCAGUAAGGAAUAUUGCGCAAUGGGCGAAAGCCUGACGCAGCGACGCCGCGUGGGGGAUGAAGGUCUUCGGAUUGUAAACCCCUUUCGGGAGGGAAGAUGGAACGAGCAAUCGUUCGGACGGUACCUCCAGAAGCAGCCACGGCUAACUUCGUGCCAGCAGCCGCGGUAAUACGAAGGUGGCAAGCGUUGUUCGGAUUUACUGGGCGUACAGGGAGCGUAGGCGGCCUUCUAAGUCAGACGUGAAAUCCCAAGGCUUAACCUUGGAACUGCGUCUGAUACUGGAAGGCUAGAGGUCGGGAGAGGGAUGUAGAAUUCCAGGUGUAGCGGUGAAAUGCGUAGAUAUCUGGAGGAAUACCGGUGGCGAAGGCGGCAUCCUGGACCGAAACUGACGCUGAGGCGCGAAAGCUAGGGUAGCAAACGGGAUUAGAUACCCUGNUANUC
RNAcentral lists this ribosomal RNA (455 nucleotides) under uncultured bacterium. RNAcentral describes it as "bacterial SSU rRNA". It matches the Rfam family "Bacterial small subunit ribosomal RNA", at positions 338 to 795 of the family's 1533-position model. The record is from RNAcentral.